AAAUUGAAGAGUUUGAUCAUGGCUCAGAUUGAACGCUGGCGGCAGGCCUAACACAUGCAAGUCGAACGGUAACAGGAAACAGCUUGCUGUUUCGCUGACGAGUGGCGGACGGGUGAGAAAUGUCUGGGCAACUGCCUGAUGGGGGGGGGUAACUACUGGAAACGGUAGCUAAUACCGCAUAACGUCGCAAGGCCAAAGAGGGGGACCUUAGGGCGUCUUGCCAUCGGAAGAGACCCGAUGGGAUUAGCUAGUAGGAGGGGUAAAGGCGGUCGCUU
Molecule: ribosomal RNA, 275 nt
Filed under: Escherichia coli
Lineage: Bacteria; Pseudomonadati; Pseudomonadota; Gammaproteobacteria; Enterobacterales; Enterobacteriaceae
Description: partial 16S ribosomal RNA
Rfam family: Bacterial small subunit ribosomal RNA
Source: RNAcentral